AUGGAAACCAGCAUCUCACACAUGCUAGGCGAGUGCUCUAGCCUAGCACUGAGCCACAACCCCAGCCCAUGAUUACUUAUCUUUUAUGUAUAAGACAACAUCCUACUAGGAAUUAAACUAGAGACUUUGCCCCUAAUGAAGAAAAAGUAGGCCCAAAUAUCCAUCAUAUGGAAUUAGGCCCAACUUCCUUAAUAAGACUUCUAUAGCACAAGAAUUAAAAUCAAGAAUCAAUAAAUGGGAUGGAUUCAAACUAAAAAGCUUCUGCUCAGCAAAAGAAACAAUCAGUGGGUGAAUAGAGUGCCUACCGAAUGGGAGCAAAUCUUUACAACAAGCACAUCAGAUAGAGCACAAUUUCUAGGAUAUAUAAAGCACUCAAAAACCUUAACACCAAACAAACAAAUAACACAAUCAAUAAAUGGGCCAAGGAACUGAACAGACACCUCUCAGAAGAUGAUAUAAUCAACAAACAUAUGAAAAAAUGUCAACAUCUCUAGCAAUUAGAGAAAUUAUUACUCUAAGAUUUCAUCUCACUCCAGUCAGAAUGGCAGCUAUCAGGAAUACAAACAACAAUAGAAGUGUUGGCGAGGAUGUGGAGAAAAAGGCACACUCAUACACUGCUGGUGGGACUGCAAAUUGGUGCAGCCAAUAUGGAAAGCAGUAUGGAGAUUUCUUGGAAAAUUGGGAAUGAAACCACCAUUUGACCCAGCUAUCGCUCUCCUCAGCCUAUACCCAAAGGACUUAAAAACAAAACACUACAGGGACACAGGCACAUCAAUAUUUAUAGCAGCACAAUUCAAAAUAGCUAAACUGUGGAACCAACCUAGAUGC
RNAcentral lists this long non-coding RNA (828 nucleotides) under Marmota monax (woodchuck). The record is from RNAcentral. Lineage: Eukaryota; Metazoa; Chordata; Mammalia; Rodentia; Sciuridae.